Molecule: ribosomal RNA, 392 nt
Filed under: uncultured bacterium
Lineage: Bacteria
Description: partial 16S ribosomal RNA
Rfam family: Bacterial small subunit ribosomal RNA
Source: RNAcentral
AUACGUAGGGAGCAAGCGUUAUCCGGAUUUAUUGGGCGUAAAGCGCGCGUAGGCGGCUUGUUAAGUCAGGUGUUAAAGGCAAGGGCUCAACCCCUGUUCGCACCUGAAACUGGCAGGCUUGAGUUUGGUAGAGGAAAACGGAAUUCCCAGUGUAGCGGUGAAAUGCGCAGAUAUUGGGAAGAACACCGGUGGCGAAGGCGGUUUGCUGGGCCACAACUGACGCUGAGGUGCGAAAGCUAGGGGAGCAAACAGGAUUAGAUACCCUGGUAGUCCACGCUAUAAACGAUGAGUGCUAGGUGUCGGGGGUCAAACCUCGGUGCCGCAGUUAACACAUUAAGCACUCCGCCUGGGGAGUACGGCCGCAAGGCUGAAACUCAAAUGAAUUGGCGGGG